This 407-nucleotide ribosomal RNA is filed under the name uncultured bacterium. RNAcentral's name for it is "partial 16S ribosomal RNA". It matches the Rfam family "Bacterial small subunit ribosomal RNA", at positions 28 to 526 of the family's 1533-position model. The record is from RNAcentral.
GACGAACGCUGGCGGCGUGCCUAAUACAUGCAAGUAGGACGCAGUUGCGAACGGGUGCGUAAAGCGUAGGUAACUACCUAUUUGAGGGGGGUAACUAUUGGAAACGACAGCUAAUCCCGCAUACUAGUAGAUGGACCUGCGUUGUAUUAGCUUGGAGGGAGGGUAAGGGCCUAACUAGGCCAUGCUACAUAGCCGAGCUUGGAGGGUGAUCGGCCACACUGGGACUGAGAAACGGCCCAGACUCCUACGGGAGGCAGCAGUAGGGAAUCUUCGGCAAUGGGGGGAACCCUGACCGAGCAACGGCGCGGUGGUGGAGAAGGUUUUCGGAUCGUAAAGCUCUGUUGUUAAGGGAGCGGUACUUAACCAGAAAGGGACGGCUAACUACGUGCCAGCAGCCGCGGUAAUAC